Molecule: ribosomal RNA, 2903 nt
Filed under: Escherichia coli
Lineage: Bacteria; Pseudomonadati; Pseudomonadota; Gammaproteobacteria; Enterobacterales; Enterobacteriaceae
Description: 23S ribosomal RNA
Rfam family: Bacterial large subunit ribosomal RNA
Source: RNAcentral
GGUUAAGCGACUAAGCGUACACGGUGGAUGCCCCGCAGUCAGAGGCGAUGAAGGACGUGCUAAUCUGCGAUAAGCGUCGGUAAGGUGAUAUGAACCGUUAUAACCGGCGAUUUCCGAAUGGGGAAACCCAGUGUGUUUCGACACACUAUCAUUAACUGAAUCCAUAGGUUAAUGAGGCGAACCGGGGGAACUGAAACAUCUAAGUACCCCGAGGAAAAGAAAUCAACCGAGAUUCCCCCAGUAGCGGCGAGCGAACGGGGAGGAGCCCAGAGCCUGAAUCAGUGUGUGUUAGUGGAAGCGUCUGGAAAGGCGCGCGAUACAGGGUGACAGCCCCGUACACAAAAAUGCACAUACUGUGAGCUCGAUGAGUAGGGCGGGACACGUGGUAUCCUGUCUGAAUAUGGGGGGACCAUCCUCCAAGGCUAAAUACUCCUGACUGACCGAUAGUGAACCAGUACCGUGAGGGAAAGGCGAAAAGAACCCCGGCGAGGGGAGUGAAAAAGAACCUGAAACCGUGUACGUACAAGCAGUGGGAGCCUCUUUUAUGGGGGUGACUGCGUACCUUUGUAUAAUGGGUCAGCGACUUAUAUUCUGUAGCAAGGUUAACCGAAUAGGGGAGCCGAAGGGAAACCGAGUCUUAACUGGGCGUUAAGUUGCAGGGUAUAGACCCGAAACCCGGUGAUUCAGCCAUGGGCAGGUUGAAGGUUGGGUAACACUAACUGGAGGACCGAACCGACUAAUGUUGAAAAAUUAGCGGAUGACUUGUGGCUGGGGGUGAAAGGCCAAUCAAACCGGGAGAUAGCUGGUUCUCCCCGAAAGCUAUUUAGGUAGCGCCUCGUGAAUUCAUCUCCGGGGGUAGAGCACUGUUUCGGCAAGGGGGUCAUCCCGACUUACCAACCCGAUGCAAACUGCGAAUACCGGAGAAUGUUAUCACGGGAGACACACGGCGGGUGCUAACGUCCGUCGUGAAGAGGGAAACAACCCAGACCGCCAGCUAAGGUCCCAAAGUCAUGGUUAAGUGGGAAACGAUGUGGGAAGGCCCAGACAGCCAGGAUGUUGGCUUAGAAGCAGCCAUCAUUUAAAGAAAGCGUAAUAGCUCACUGGUCGAGUCGGCCUGCGCGGAAGAUGUAACGGGGCUAAACCAUGCACCGAAGCUGCGGCAGCGACGCUUAUGCGUUGUUGGGUAGGGGAGCGUUCUGUAAGCCUGCGAAGGUGUGCUGUGAGGCAUGCUGGAGGUAUCAGAAGUGCGAAUGCUGACAUAAGUAACGAUAAAGCGGGUGAAAAGCCCGCUCGCCGGAAGACCAAGGGUUCCUGUCCAACGUUAAUCGGGGCAGGGUGAGUCGACCCCUAAGGCGAGGCCGAAAGGCGUAGUCGAUGGGAAACAGGUUAAUAUUCCUGUACUUGGUGUUACUGCGAAGGGGGGACGGAGAAGGCUAUGUUGGUCGGGCGACGGUUGUCCCGGUUUAAGCGUGUAGGCUGGUUUUCCGGGCAAAUCCGGAAAACCAAGGCUGAGGCGUGAUGACGAGGCACUACGGUGCUGAAGCGACAAAUGCCCUGCUUCCAGGAAAAGCCUCUAAGCAUCAGGUAACAUCAAAUCGUACCCCAAACCGACACAGGUGGUCAGGUAGAGAAUACCAAGGCGCUUGAGAGAACUCGGGUGAAGGAACUAGGCAAAAUGGUGCCGUAACUUCGGGAGAAGGCACGCUGAUAUGUAGGUGAAGCGACUUGCUCGUGGAGCUGAAAUCAGUCGAAGAUACCAGCUGGCUGCAACUGUUUAUUAAAAACACAGCACUGUGCAAACACGAAAGUGGACGUAUACGGUGUGACGCCUGCCCGGUGCCGGAAGGUUAAUUGAUGGGGUUAGCGGUAACGCGAAGCUCUUGAUCGAAGCCCCGGUAAACGGCGGCCGUAACUAUAACGGUCCUAAGGUAGCGAAAUUCCUUGUCGGGUAAGUUCCGACCUGCACGAAUGGCGUAAUGAUGGCCGGGCUGUCUCCACCCGAGACUCAGUGAAAUUGAACUCGCUGUGAAGAUGCAGUGUACCCGCGGCAAGACGGAAAGACCCCGUGAACCUUUACUAUAGCUUGACACUGAACAUUGAGCCUUGAUGUGUAGGAUAGGUGGGAGGCUUUGAAGUGUGGACGCCAGUCUGCAUGGAGCCGACCUUGAAAUACCACCCUUUAAUGUUUGAUGUUCUAACGUUGGCCCGUAAUCCGGGUUGCGGACAGUGUCUGGUGGGUAGUUUGACUGGGGCGGUCUCCUCCUAAAGAGUAACGGAGGAGCACGAAGGUUGGCUAAUCCUGGUCGGACAUCAGGAGGUUAGUGCAAUGGCAUAAGCCAGCUUGACUGCGAGCGUGACGGCGCGAGCAGGUGCGAAAGCAGGUCAUAGUGAUCCGGUGGUUCUGAAUGGAAGGGCCAUCGCUCAACGGAUAAAAGGUACUCCGGGGAUAACAGGCUGAUACCGCCCAAGAGUUCAUAUCGACGGCGGUGUUUGGCACCUCGAUGUCGGCUCAUCACAUCCUGGGGCUGAAGUAGGUCCCAAGGGUAUGGCUGUUCGCCAUUUAAAGUGGUACGCGAGCUGGGUUUAGAACGUCGUGAGACAGUUCGGUCCCUAUCUGCCGUGGGCGCUGGAGAACUGAGGGGGGCUGCUCCUAGUACGAGAGGACCGGAGUGGACGCAUCACUGGUGUUCGGGUUGUCAUGCCAAUGGCACUGCCCGGUAGCUAAAUGCGGAAGAGAUAAGUGCUGAAAGCAUCUAAGCACGAAACUUGCCCCGAGAUGAGUUCUCCCUGAGACUUUAAGUCUCCUGAAGGAACGUUGAAGACGACGACGUUGAUAGGCCGGGUGUGUAAGCGCAGCGAUGCGUUGAGCUAACCGGUACUAAUGAACCGUGAGGCUUAACCUU